Molecule: long non-coding RNA, 864 nt
Filed under: Triticum aestivum (bread wheat)
Lineage: Eukaryota; Viridiplantae; Streptophyta; Magnoliopsida; Poales; Poaceae
Description: long non-coding RNA (TAES_LNC012518)
Source: RNAcentral
AAUAUUAUUCGAUCCAAUAAACGAACAUUCAGCCUUUUUCAUUCAUAGAUUUCAAUUUUACACAUUUCAACAGCAACGAUCAAUAAUUCUCGCAACUAAAUGAUCAAAUCCAAAAAUCACUCUAUGAAACUCACAACAGCACAUCUGCACGAUCCAUCAAGUGUACAUACAAUCAGAAACAAAUACAAAGACACCAAAACAUGGUGGCAACAUCAACUAAAACUAUUGUGCAGCAGCAGCCACCUCGAUCACAGCAGCAACCACCUCGGUCGCUUGCCUCGCGCUGGCGGAACUUGUUGGUCGUGCUCGCUGUUAUAGUCAAGCAACAGCCUCUUGUACUCGAAGGCCUAUAAAAUAAAAUGGAUAAGUGAUCAAAUCCAAAAAUCACUCUAUGAAACUCACAACAGCACAUCUGCACGAUCCAUCAAGUGUACAUACAAUCAGAAACAAAUACAAAGACACCAAAACAUGGUGGCAACAUCAACUAAAACUAUUGUGCAGCAGCAGCCACCUCGAUCACAGCAGCAACCACCUCAGUCGCUUGCCUCGCGCUGGCGGAACUUGUUGGUCGUGCUCGCUGUUAUAGUCAAGCAACAGCCUCUUGUACUCGAAGGCCUAUAAAAUAAAAUGGAUAAGUUAGAUUGAUUCCUGUAGGUGCAGCACAUUUUCUGGAAGAGGCAUAAACGAGAUGUAGUAUCAUCACUACAUGAAAGGAGCAUUAUACUUGGAAGGAAAAAACAGCAUCCUGUCACCAAGCAAACACUACUUGACAGGAAACACUAGUAGCAGGAAGAGCUAGUUAUGCAUGAUGUCUCAGGUUUAAUAAAAGAUCAAGACCACAAUUUUAACAAGAGAUAUAUAGUC